ACGCACGUGUGAAACUUGAAGGAAUUGACGGAAGGGCACCACAAGAACGCGUGGAGCAUGUGGCUUAAUUUGACUCAACCCGGGAAAUCUUACCAGGUCCAGACAUAUUGAGGAUUGACAGGCGAUAGUAUAUAAAAUAUAUUUUUAUAUGCAUAAAAAUGAUAGUCCUUUCAUGAUUAUAUGAUAGGUGGUGCAUGGCCGUUCUUAGUUCGUGGAGUGAUUUGUCUGCUUAAUUGCGUUUCAGUAAAUAAAAUAUAUAAUAUAUUAUAAUAUUUAGUUCUGCCAUUUAUUUAUGGAUUUAAAGUGAACAUAUUAUAUAUAUUAUUAUAUAAUAAAUGAAUGCAACGAACGUGACCGUAACCUUUUAUUGCUAUUGAAAAUUAUAAUUAUAGCAUAAAAUUAAAGGAACCGCUGUCAUAACUAAAUAUGUGUUAAAAUAGAGUAAGAUUAUGGCAAUAACAGGUCUGUGAUGCCCUCAGAUGUUCUGGGCUGCACACGUGCUACAAUAAUUACAUUAAUAAGUAUAUAUACUUUAUAAUAUAUAAUAUUAUAUUACAACCUAUUUCGAAAGUAAAUCGGUAAUCAUUUAAAAAUCGUGAUUAAUUAAUAUAAAUAUAAUUAAUUUAAGGUGGGGAUAGUGUAUUGUUAAUUAUUACACUUGGCCUUAACUAGGAAUGCCUUGUACUCUUCUUUGGUUUAACAUACCAAGAGGAAUACGUCCCUGCCCUUUGUACACACCGCCCGUCGCUCUUACCGAUGAAUUAUAUUAUAAAUCUAAGGGAUUUAUUAUAAUUAAAAUAUAAAAAACUUAUAUACAUAAUGGAUUUAAAGGAAAGAGAAGUCGAACAAGGCA
RNAcentral lists this ribosomal RNA (853 nucleotides) under Sorites orbiculus. Its description in RNAcentral is "SSU rRNA". It matches the Rfam family "Eukaryotic small subunit ribosomal RNA", at positions 1129 to 1801 of the family's 1831-position model. The record is from RNAcentral. Lineage: Eukaryota; Foraminifera; Miliolida; Soritidae.